This 232-nucleotide long non-coding RNA is filed under the name Marmota monax (woodchuck). Lineage: Eukaryota; Metazoa; Chordata; Mammalia; Rodentia; Sciuridae. The record is from RNAcentral.
CGCCCCCCUGCACUUCUCCCCCAACUCAGAGAGAACUUGUGAGUCACUGCCACAGCCACGCACCUUCUUGUUAGAUGGUAACUGGGGCCCAUGGAGCAAAAAUGAUAAUAAAAGCACGGUAGUCCUGAGAAGAAGGUCGUCCAUCCCAAGCACAUCAUUUCUUGUUAUAAAAAUCCCUUUCCUCAAGCUGGGUGUCGUUGUGCACACCUGUGAUCCCAGUGACUUGGGAGGC